Molecule: transfer RNA, 62 nt
Filed under: Wellcomia siamensis
Lineage: Eukaryota; Metazoa; Nematoda; Chromadorea; Rhabditida; Oxyuridae
Description: tRNA-Ile
Source: RNAcentral
ACUAUUUUAGUAAAAAAAAAAAGGAUUAUAAUAUUUUGAUAGAAUAUAGUUUAAUAAUAGUA